This 253-nucleotide ribosomal RNA is filed under the name uncultured bacterium. RNAcentral describes it as "partial 16S ribosomal RNA". It matches the Rfam family "Bacterial small subunit ribosomal RNA", at positions 524 to 776 of the family's 1533-position model. The record is from RNAcentral.
UACGUAGGGCGCAAGCGUUAUCCGGAAUUAUUGGGCGUAAAGGGCUCGUAGGCGGUCUGUCGCGUCGGGAGUGAAAACUUACAGCUUAACUGUGAGCGUGCUUCCGAUACGGGCAGACUUGAGGUAUUCAGGGGAGAACGGAAUUCCUGGUGUAGCGGUGAAAUGCGCAGAUAUCAGGAGGAACACCGGUGGCGAAGGCGGUUCUCUGGGAAUAUCCUGACGCUGAGGAGCGAAAGUGUGGGGAGCGAACAGG